CUGGCGGCGUGCCUAAUACAUGCAAGUAGAACGCACAGUUUAUACCGUAGCUUGCUACACCAUAGACUGUGAGUUGCGAACGGGUGAGUAACGCGUAGGUAACCUGCCUGGUAGCGGGGGAUAACUAUUGGAAACGAUAGCUAAUACCGCAUAAUAUUAAUUAUUGCAUGAUAAUUGAUUAAAAGGUGCAAUUGCAUCACUACCAGAUGGACCUGCGUUGUAUUAGCUAGUAGGUGAGGUAACGGCUCACCUAGGCGACGAUACAUAGCCGACCUGAGAGGGUGAUCGGCCACACUGGGACUGAGACACGGCCCAGACUCCUACGGGAGGCAGCAGUAGGGAAUCUUCGGCAAUGGACGAAAGUCUGACCGAGCAACGCCGCGUGAGUGAAGAAGGUUUUCGGAUCGUAAAGCUCUGUUGUAAGAGAAGAACGGGUGUGAGAGUGGAAAGUUCACACUGUGACGGUAUCUUACCA
RNAcentral lists this ribosomal RNA (475 nucleotides) under Streptococcus sp. oral clone BP2-6. Its description in RNAcentral is "bacterial SSU rRNA". It matches the Rfam family "Bacterial small subunit ribosomal RNA", at positions 36 to 485 of the family's 1533-position model. Lineage: Bacteria; Bacillati; Bacillota; Bacilli; Lactobacillales; Streptococcaceae. The record is from RNAcentral.